AUGCGUACAGAGGUCAUCAAGGCAGACUCCAUUGAUGUGGCUGUCGAAAGGAUACUUCGUGAACUUGGGUCGGACACUAGAAGAAGCAACAACAGAGGGAAUGCCAUCUACUUUGAUGGCUGGGAUGGCCUUGGGGCAUCUGCCGUCCUGCAAGCCAUAGCCAAACGCCUCACACCAUCAAAUGAGGCAUUGGCUAGGCCUGCUGGGCUGGAGUUUCAGAGAAUCAUCCACAUCGAUUGCUCAAAGUGGGAGAACAGAAGAGCAGUGCAGAGGAAAAUCGCGCAGCAGCUGGAGCUUCCCAGCUGGGUGAUGGACAUGUUUGACGACGAAGAUGAGGAAGAUGAUUUCAAUGGUUUAGACCAAGGCUCCCGCGGUGAGAUAGAACAAGUUAACGCAGAGAUCAAUCAAGCUAUACAGAUUUCCAGGUUCCUGGUGAUCCUGCACAAUGGAGGCAAUGAAGAGAUUGAUAUAUCACAUUUUGGUCUUUAUCUAUAUGGGUAUGCCAAUAGCAAGAUGUUGUGGACUUUCCGAGGGAGGUUUCGACUUGACCCCAAGGUGAUAGACAAUGUGAAGAAGAGCACAACAACACAUGUUAUUAUUUCAGCUUCCAGUGGUGGGCGAGAUCCGCAAAACCUUUGGUCUUAUCUAGUGCACCAUGAGGCUGCACAAGUUUCCCGCAAUAAGGAUGGUCAUUGCAUCAUUGAUCCGGCAAUUGCUGCUGAGUGUGCCAAAUAUAUGCUGAAACGAUGCUGCAUUGGCCCUCACAUCGUUGACUACGACUGGGUCGUCCACACCAGUAACUACUGGAUAUGCGAUGGGAUCAUCACACUGGCAGACAUUGAGAGAGCUUGGCAAGUUGGAGAUGUUCUGCAGCGUGAGCUGCGUUUGUUGGGCACUGAAAACCGGCAUAAUAUUGGUGAUUUAACAAUAAUGCCUUCCUCUCACCUGUCAAGGUCUACCGAGCAUAUUCCGUACUGGAUUUCAAAAGCAACUUGCCGGUUUGUGUUCAGCCCCUCUGGAGUUAUGCCCGAUGACACGUUUCAGCACUCACACCGGCUCGGCGUGCUCAAGCUCUCAAGGUGUACCUUCAGCUUCUCAUUGCCUCCAUUCCUAUGUUGCCACAGCCUGAGAUUCCUGUGGCUUGAUCACUGCCAAGACAUCCAAACAAGAACACACAACAUAGAUGCAGAAAAGGAGGAGUUGGACCACAACACCACAGUGUUGUGGGAAUGCUUCCAAAGCUUGUGGGUGCUUGACCUGCGCCACACGGAUUGUUAUAAGAUCUUGUCAGCGAGGGUGAUGGAUCUCAUGAUCCAGCUGAGGGAGCUAAACGUGAUGGGAGCCAGGAACUGGGACAUGAGCCAUCUACAGGGACGGCUGCGUAACAUUCGCAAGCUCCGAGUAACAAAGUCAACCUGCUACUUCAACAACAAUGUGUUAUCAGAUAUGGGGAACAUGGAGCUUCUUGAUUUUUCUGGAAAUAUCAUCAGACAAGGCAUGACAAUCUUAUCUGGGACAGAAAGCAACAAUAGCCUCAGAACUGUGAUUAUUGGUGGAUGUGAUGGGUUAAAAAUUAUCUCUUUUAGGGGAUGCAAAGAAUUGAAGAACCUGUUCUUGAAAGGAUCAUUGGGGAAUAUCAAUGAGCUGGACCUCUCGGGCACAAGAGUAAAAACGCUCGACUUUGGAGGAGUGGAAACCAGUUCAAUCCCCAAGAAGCUUAUCUUGCUAGGCUGCGAGAAGCUCCGAGCAAUAUUGUGGCCUCAGAAGGUAGUAAUUGAAGGAUGGUUUGGUGUGCUGCUGAGUAUCGACACCAUGUCGACAUCAACAUCAGCUGACGGAUGGGGAGCACCACUUGCACAUCCACAUGUCGAUCCAUCCAUCCAACGACAGAAAGAAGAAAUAUUUAAGGCUCAAUGGCGGAUUUCUAUCAUGGAUACAAGGUUUCUUAGGUCGCUUUCUCCUUUAAGAUGGUAUUUAGGAGGCUCAUCCAUACAUAUUGAUGUCUGUCAUGCAGUUACCGUCGGUGGUAGCAACAUCCAAGGAACAAGCAGUGAUGAACUAGUGCAAGUUCAACCGCAUACAAGUACCUUAAUGGACUCAAAGUACAAAGAUAUACUGAAGGGCGGCCCAGUUCCAACAGUGGUGAUGCGGGAGUGCCCCAAGAUAUUUGUAAGGCAAUGGACCCAAGUGGCUGCAUGUAUCAUAAAUGUGAUCAUGCACGGGCAGAGCAACAAACUCUUGGAGGAUAACCCGUCCAUCACCAGUAUCCCUGCACGGGCAGAUACUUGUGCUUUAUUAUUGCCUCAUUUUCUAUGUGAAGCGGCUACAUCACUGCACGUGUACGAUAACCCAGCCAUCACCAGUAUCCCUGCACCACCCCAAGGAUCGGGAUGGAGAAGUAUAAGAUGGUGUCGAAUCGAGAGGUGCCCCAAGUUACACACGGUCUUCACUACUCCUGAUGACAGUAAUGUGAAGAGCUUUUUCUGGCUGGAGACAUUCUGGGCCUCCCAGCUCCUCUCUGCAUGCUACAUCUGGGACAGGCCAACCCAAAGCUACUUUUAUAACCUGAACCUAUUGCAUCUGGACCAUUGCCCCAGGCUCGUACAUGUUCUCCCCUUCUUCAAAUGGGAGGGAGACACCUUGGGUGCACUGGAAACCCUCGAGAUAGUGUCAUGCGGUGAUCUCAGGGAGGUCUUCCCUUUGGACCCUCAGCUUCAAGAGCAGGAUAAAAUUCUAGAAUUUCCAAAGCUGAGGCACAUCCACCUGCACGAGCUCCCCAUGCUGCAGCACAUCAGUGGGUGCAGGAUGUGGGCACCUAAACUCGAGACCAUCAAGAUCAGGGGCUGUUGCAGCCUCAAGCGUCUGCCAUUAAUCGGACGCAACACCAUGCCGCCCAAGGUGGAUUGUGAGAAGGAAUGGUGGUACAACCUGGAGUGGGAUGGGUUGGAGAAGUACCACCAUCCUUCCCUCUACGAGCCGAGCCACUCGUUGUACUAG
Molecule: ribosomal RNA, 2997 nt
Filed under: Triticum aestivum (bread wheat)
Lineage: Eukaryota; Viridiplantae; Streptophyta; Magnoliopsida; Poales; Poaceae
Description: partial small subunit ribosomal RNA
Source: RNAcentral